CGCGCUCCCACCCUGCACGACGCGGCCCCGCACGUGAAGGGGAAGCAGCGAAGCCGGCGGCGCGGGUCGGCCCAGGUCGCGGUGGCGGGGCCGCGGCUGCGGGCUGCUGGGCGCGCAGAGGGCGCAUUGUGCGGGAGCCCUGAAUGGAGCCGGGCUGUGUGCGGGGCGGGCUCAGCCGGAUUAGCCUGCUUUCCCAUGAACUACAAAAGAAUGCUCGAAUCUGGGGCAUUUGUCAUCAAGGGGCAGGCUGCGCAGGAUGCAAGGACUACUCAAAAAUAGCUAAAUUAUGGAACCGGUACAGACAUCCAUCUACGGAGGACAGAGUCCAACAUUUGUUUCUCCAAGUACAGUGAGUUACAGAGCUAGCACAUAAUGUACCAAUAAUGAAAAUAACUCUGCGAACAGCAUGGAAGUAAGUUGGGGCUACUCCCGCCCACUCAGAGAUGGAUUUUAUGUGCAGAAGCCCAGUGGAAUAUAAAUGAACCUGCUGCAUCUGACAAAUGAGAGCUGAGAGGCAGAGGCUCCCCGAAAGAGGAAACAGGACACUUUCUUACCUCCCUGUCUGCACAGCGAGGCAUGGAUGACAGCGGGCCCUCCUUGUGGGACCGAUUGUAAUAAAUGCCGUGAUCAGUGUGAAUGAAUGCCUGCUGCUGGAAACACUCAGUCUAACAGCCUCUAGUUCUCAUCAUAAACUCCUGAUGUGCCCCUGCGUGUCCUUAUUCAGGGCACGAUUCACUGGUGGCAGGUGUUUGUUUGUGUUCAUAAAUGUCAGCUCCUUAACAUUCGCUUUGGAGAUGGAAGAGUGACAGACAAGAGUCCUGUUCUUGCUGAACCCAAGACCCUUCCAUAGAGCACGGAAGGGCCAGGCACACACACACACACAGCCACAGCCCCUUCCCCUUGUUGGUUAGGGACGAUUCAGCACCGGCAGACACACUCCAGAUGUCUUGCUACCAUCUGGCUGAUGUAGGUUCACAGGAGUGCCCAGCCUCCAGGGACAUGCAAGGAGACAGGAAGCCCAAGGCUUCCAAAUGGUACGCUGGGGGUUUCCAGAGUGCUCUAACUCUCUAAUUGAGCAGCAGGGGUGCCCUGUUUUUCGUGCUGUUUCCUUCCCUGCCCGUUCCUCUUUUCCUGGUUUGCUUUCUCAAGGCUCACUUAAUCACAUGUCCCUCUUGGGUCAACUGAGUGUGUGCUCACCCGGCUUGCCUAGGCGCUGUCCAAGGUAUUGAGGUUGGCUGCUACAAAUUGCCAUUCACUGCCAGAGGGCAUGCUGCAUUUCUGCAUCUGUGAACUCUCCUUACACAGGGAAAGUGUGGUGGUGGGUAAAAAAUAAAGCGAUGCCAUAGCCUCGCAACCCGAGCUCAGGGGGGCUGAGGAGGAGAGUCGCAAAUUCAAGAUCCUCCUGGGCUAAAUAAAGGUAGACGUUGUUCAACUUCAGCCUGGACAGCUGAGCGAGAUCCUGUCUCCAGAAGAGGCCUGGAGCAGUAGUUCAAGUCUAGUGGCAGAGCGCUUGCCUAGGGCGCAUGGGCCCUCCGUUAAAUCCGCAGCUCUGUCCCCACACACGGUGUAUUAAGGGGCAGUGUUGAGCUCUUUAUGACUUCUCGUGAAGCUGCUCUCCCCACAGGCAUUUAAAACUUAAAAAAAAAAAAAAUGCAUUAAACUGAAGUGUUUUCAGAGACAGGAAAAUCCUUCUUAGAAAUCAAUAAUUAUUGAUUAAUGGCUUGCCGUGUCACAAGUCUAGGGAGGGACUUGGGUUAUGUAUGGGCAUCGGAUUUCCAGGAAAUUUAUAAUCUGUCUUGUGAAGGAGACUCCAUGUUCACCACACGUAAAACAACCCAAGUCACAUGCAGGAAAACGACAAAUACUUUCUUUUUAAGAUUGGUAUACUCAAUCACAGCCUUGCUUAAAAUAAAAGCACAUCCUUUCUCCCUUUUUGUGGUAAAUAUACACAUAAAAUUUGCCACAAAUCCUUACUAUCCUGAAUGUAUGAUGUGUGUGUGUGUGUGUGUGUUUUAAUUCUGAGCAUGAUUUAAAAUCUAUCUCCCAUGUGACCCUGGACCUAUUUUUCUAUUUCCUAGCGAUACUCAUUUCAGUGUAUGCCAUAACCACCCUCCCAUCACCUUCCUUCCUGCAAACUCCCCCAGGUGACAUUUGCAUUGAGUGAACUGAUUUUUGUCUUCAAAAAAGGGAAAAAAAAUCACAAAUAGUGCUUCCCUUUUAUUUCAGCUUGAGCUGUUUUCUCCUGGGAAAACAGCUUUUUGCUUGGCAAAAAUGGAUGUGAAGCAUUGGCGAAAACGAAAGGCCGUUUUCGUUGCAAAGAAAACUGCCUCUUGCUUUUGCCAAAAAAAGCAAAACAUAUGAGACAAACCCACAAAUAUUUCCCUGUUUGCAAACUCUGUAAAAAAAACGUGAUUUUUUUUUCCACCAGCGGUGAGAAUAUUUUCCCCGCACGACUCUUCUCAUUUCUAAAAAUUAUGGUCCCAGCGGUAGAAGUCACAAGUGACACCUGUGCCACCUCAUUAAUAGGAUUCAAUAUCCUGGGUAUUACUUUUAAACACGUUGAAUAUUCGUCCCAUCAUAGGUGACACUGGAAGAGAUACAGCCUUCACUUGGUGAGAAGCUUGUCUCAACAAAGUGAAGAGUCACUGACACAUGCCGGACCGCUGACCCUGGAAAACAAUGUUCAGAGGGAGGGGAGGUGGGUAUUCGCUGGGCUUGAAGGCAGAGGAGCAGCUGAAUGAAUGAAGACUUGUGACAGACUUGUCACUGGGAGAAGAAAUCACACCAGGUGGUGGAGAGGAUGCGGCAGAGAACACGUUCCAGAUACCAGGUUCGUCAUCCAGUGUGGGUGCCGCUUCCCAGGGCCCUGUGAAAAGGACAGCACUGAAUGAAAUGGCCGUUGGAAUGCCUCUCAGACCUCCGUGUGCAAGGACCAGACUGGAGGUACAUUGGCAAAGUAUAGAAAAUUUGACUAUCCCGAGAUCUUGGCUCAUUGACUCCCUCAUUUCACAAAUACUCUGCUUAAAUGGGGUCUUUGGUGAUGGAUGAAGGUGUUGGAACAACAAAUCAGAUUGGGAGUGUCGCUGUGUGCGACAUUUCUUGACACCCCCGUGCUCAUCACCAUGCCAACUCUUCACCCUGUCAUGAAGCUGGGUUCUUUUUCUUGGUGAAGUAGAGACAUUUGUUUGCCACCUUUACAUUGCUAUAAUACCUAAAACAUCAAUACAGACGAGAGGCAUUCAAAGCAAUAAACUGGUUCAGGGAAGUAGAGUGCAAAUACAUUUAUAAUGUGUAAAGUCAUAUUUUUAAGGAUUCUGGUUUUAAGGCAAUUCUAUGAUGAAUGUUUUAUCACGUAAGAAAACACUUCAUCGAGUAAAGAUAUCUCCCAGCAAAUUUAUUUAUUAUAAAAAUCUACUUUUGUGGAAGUAAUUCUUUGCUGUUCUCAGCCUUGCUACUUCACAUUUAGGCCUGUUGUUUCGUAUUUUCCUUCAAAGCUGUGGGAGCGGGAGUGGGAGUGGGUGUGGAUGGGGUUGUGUUGGCACACAAGUGGACAUGUAUGCACAUGCCUGUGGAGACCAGGGCACAGCCUUGGAUGUGGGUGUCAUUUCAGGAGCUUUCCGCCAUGUUGAUUAUUAACCAGUUAGUUAGUUAGUUAGUUAAUGUUUUAAAAAGAAUCUCCUUCCUAGCCUAGGAUUUACCAAUUAGGUUAGGCUGGCUGGCUAGGAAGCCCCCAAAAGUCACCUGUCUUCACCUCCCCACAGACAUGGGAUUACAUGCCCAUGUCACUGGACUGGUUUGUUUGUUUGUUUUUGUUUUUAAACAGAGAUUCAAAUCAGGCAUUCAUGCUUGCAAGGCUAACACUCCAUCAACCGUGUCCUGCCCUCAGAGCCUCAGAACUGCUUCCAAUCAAUGCAAUCAUGACUCAGAUCCAACACUAGCAGUAUCUAUGCUUUAUCUGUUUAUCAGUUACUUAAUGAUUAGAGACAAAGUGCCAGUCACCUUAUUUUAUCCUCUCAGAGCUAUUAAUGAUAUGCACUUAAAAUUCUUAUGCUGUCCCCUUAUCUCCCCCUCCCUCUUUGGGGUGCUGGCCCCCUCGCCUGACUGGCAAGUGCAGUACUGCUGAGCCACACCUUCAGCUGCCCUCCUGGGACGUCUGCUUUCUCUGGACAGUUGCCUUCUUGUCUUGCAUUGGCUCCCAAGUUCUGCCCUGGAAGGAGGAAGGAAGGAAGACUGGCUUGUGCUUUCCAGGCCGGGUCAGGUUUGGGAACAAGUCUAGCUUAGAGGUGAACCUCUUGUUGCAUUCUUGCUCACCUGUCUUUCUUCUUCCUCUUUUGGACAUUCUCUGUCCUCCAGGGCAUCUUCCAGGAUUUCUAUCCCCGGAAGACUCAGACGGGGACAGAGGAGGAAGCCACUCGGACUCCUGCCAGCCUUUCACCUUCCUCUUGCUGCACUCUGUACUCCAGCCUGUGCUGGUGCUGGCCCUGAGUUACCUCUUGACCCCUAGCACGCCAAAGCAAGAACAGAUGGAAGGAAAGAGCCAAGAGGCUCUGGCUGUUUACAUCUGCCAUGUUAGCCUCCUUCCCAACCACGCGCGCCAUGUUAGCUUCUGAGCUAGGCUCUGAGGUUCUCCAGCUUCAACCUCACACCCCUCUGCGGUUUCUUUAUCCAAGGGAAUGAACAUCCCAUGCUUGUUUCCUUUUUAAAAAUUUUUAGAUGAAUUUUUGGUUGUGAGCCUAGCCCUUGAAUGACCGAGCCACCUCUCUAACCCUAAAUAAAAUAUUUAAGUUGACAUAUUAAGUAACGGUUUCAUUGUACAUUUUCAGAUGUCUGCAGCAUUAUCAUUGCCCAUUCUUCCCUCAAUCAGUGCCAUUUGCUUUAGAGAAAGCAAAAUCAAUGGGAAGGGGUUUGGGGGUGUGGCUCAGCUACCUUCAGGAUGCCCUAUGUUUAAUCCAUAGCACCAAAAAGAAAAUAGGAGACAAGGGAAACAGAAUAAGUAAAUGCAAGUAAUUAAUAGGCUCCCCCCCAAAAAGACAGAAAUGUCUAUAACAAAGCUAUUAGAAAUCUUAGACAUUUAAUACACAAAACAAAGUCUUCAAGAAAACCUUUACUGGACAUAAUUGAUAUAAUGAUUAGAACUGAUACAGAUAAAGAUAGAUGCAGUGAACUGGAAAAUCAAGCUGGGCACAUUCAAAGAAAGCAUCAAGAAAGAAAAGGAUAAGAGAAAGGUUAAAUGGCAUUGAAGCAAAAUGAGCACUGUCAGUGCAUGACGGGAAUUCCCAGACAAGAGACAAAACCAAACAGGGAGAAAAUUAGUUAAAGAAAUUGGCAUUAUUUGUUUCUGGAAACACCCUUUCCCUUCAAAGAGACUGAUCUUUUUUGAGACUUUGCAACCAAGUCAGUAAUAUGCCUUGAGUUCAUUUUAGACUAUGUUCUUAACCUGCUGUCCUACUGUGUGCUCAGCCUGGUUGAGUUUAACCUGCCUGUAAAAGAACAAUGUAAACAGUUUUACUAUGCCUUGCACUUCCCCUCUAAUCAGCUUUGACAAGCUAUGUGCGUGCAUAGCUUUAAAGUUAAGAUAGAUGCUCUUCCAUGUCCCUACCCAGGAGGGAAAGAGAGAGACAGAGAGACAGAGGGAGGAGAAAGUGUGUGUGUGUGUGUGUGUGUGUGUGUGUGUGUGUGUGUGUUGCGGUCAUCAUUUGUUCCAAGCAGCUGUCAGGUUGAAAGCAACCUUGAACAACAAAUACCCCGCAGAUGUUGGAAGCAACAUGCAGAUCUAGGGUGGAAACGUGUUUGCAGUUCUGGUGCUGCUCUGGGUCAGUUGGGGUCAGUAAAGUCACUUCUUCCCUUGGGAGACUA
Molecule: long non-coding RNA, 5856 nt
Organism: Meriones unguiculatus (Mongolian gerbil)
Lineage: Eukaryota; Metazoa; Chordata; Mammalia; Rodentia; Muridae
Exons: 3
Source: RefSeq, a predicted model, not a curated record